Molecule: ribosomal RNA, 274 nt
Filed under: uncultured bacterium
Lineage: Bacteria
Description: partial 16S ribosomal RNA
Rfam family: Bacterial small subunit ribosomal RNA
Source: RNAcentral
AUACAGAGGGUGCGAGCGUUAAUCGGAAUUACUGGGCGUAAAGCGCGCGUAGGCGGCUUAUUAAGUCAGAUGUGAAAUCCCCGGGCUCAACCUGGGAACUGCAUCUGAUACUGGUAAGCUAGAGUUUUGGAGAGGGAAGUAGAAUUUCAGGUGUAGCGGUGAAAUGCAUAGAGAUCUGAAGGAAUACCAGUGGCGAAGGCGACUUCCUGGCCAAAAACUGACGCUGAGGUGCGAAAGCGUGGGUAGCAAACGGGAUUAGAGACCCUAGUAGUCC